This is a long non-coding RNA of Hylaeus volcanicus, 709 nucleotides long. RefSeq lists it as uncharacterized. Lineage: Eukaryota; Metazoa; Arthropoda; Insecta; Hymenoptera; Colletidae. The record is from RefSeq and is a predicted model, not a curated record. The transcript has 2 exons.
AGAGCGUGUAGUGCAAACAUAUGUAUUAUAUUUUCUGUGCUUAUUUCGUUAUACCUGCUUAUACCGUGUGCGUCUCUUGUCGUGUUAUUGUAAAUUUCGGCGUUGUUUCCUAAUACAUACGUAAGUAUAUUUUAGAUAAUGUUUGUAUGUUUUAAUAAUCAACGAAAAAAUAUUCUAAAUUAUUUCGCGUAUUUCAUAUUAUUUGAGCGUUAUUUUCGAGUUAUCCUUUGUUCGAAAUUUGAGCGUCGGUCAUGGCCAACAAAUAAGUUUUUUUUAGUAAAUUCCAAACAUUCCUGUUCAUCGCGGCGUCCGAUUCGAAGCAUUUUAUACAUAACUUAAAGCUACAUUUAAUAAAUUAUAUAUAUGUAUAAUUUGAUAAAAUGUAAUUGUAGUAUGCUGGUGUGUUCUCAUGAUAUGUACAUAUUUGUAUUUAUUAUUUUUAACAUAAAAUGCCACAUAAAUGUGCCAUGGCAGACUGCAUGCGUAAAGCAGGAAAUGCUGGAGUAAUAUUGUUUUCAUUACCGAAAAAUCCUGCUAUAUGAGACAAGUGGCUCCAGUUUGCGAACAUUGAUGCCAGAGAAAAUAGGAGCAUUCGCAUAUGUAAUUUAAUAUUUAAAUAAUUUUAAUUUUUAACUAAUUUAAAAACUUAAUUGUAUAAUCGCGAAUACAUAUUUUAAAGAAUAUAUUGUAUGUUUAUACUGUACAAUAA